RNAcentral lists this ribosomal RNA (253 nucleotides) under uncultured bacterium. RNAcentral describes it as "partial 16S ribosomal RNA". It matches the Rfam family "Bacterial small subunit ribosomal RNA", at positions 524 to 776 of the family's 1533-position model. The record is from RNAcentral.
UACGUAGGGUGCGAGCGUUAAUCGGAAUUACUGGGCGUAAAGAGUGUGUAGGCGGUGUCGUACGUCUGGUGUGAAAUCUCCCGGCUUAACUGGGAGGGUGCGCCGAAGACUGCGAUGCUUGAGUAUGGGAGAGGAAAGCGGAAUUCCUGGUGUAGCGGUGAAAUGCGUAGAUAUCAGGAGGAACACCUGCGGUGUAGACGGCUUUCUGGACCAUUACUGACACUGAGACACGAAAGCGUGGGUAGCAAACAGG